GGGUUGUGUAACAGCUGAACGUUUCCUCCAACCAUCUAUGAACGAUCCGACGGAGGUCUACUUGGGCUUUGUUGGGGGGUUCAAGAACACAACGUCACACAAAUGGGGCGUUUUAUUGACACCCCCUCGAGAUGGGCGACUUUCAUGACUCACACCCACACCCUUAAUCUUUCAGAUUUGGGUUUGGAUUUUCCAGCUACCCCGCUGCACCACUCUGCGGCAAAUCACCAGAUCACUUCUUUUUGGUGUGAAUGCCCACUUAUACAGCAGCAGUCACUGCGGUUCAUGCAGGAAUAAAGACAUUGAAUACAUAGGAAUUACAGCGCUUUACUUUUCGUAGCUCUACGUACGAAUGGUUCCCGAGAACAGCCUGAUUAUAGAUGGAUUUGAUGACAUUUCGUACUAACCCUCCUGUUGUCCUG
Etheostoma spectabile (orangethroat darter) is the source of this 422-nucleotide long non-coding RNA. RefSeq lists it as uncharacterized. The transcript has 3 exons. Lineage: Eukaryota; Metazoa; Chordata; Actinopteri; Perciformes; Percidae. The record is from RefSeq and is a predicted model, not a curated record.